UCGGGAAUAUUGGGCAAUGGGCGAAAGCCUGACCCAGCAACGCCGCGUGAAGGAUGAAGGCCCUAGGGUCGUAAACUUCUGUCGAGAGGGAAGAACUGCUUGCGGGCGAAUAGUCCGUAGGUUUGACGGUACCUCCAGAGGAAGCACCGGCUAACUCCGUGCCAGCAGCCGCGGUAAUACGGAGGGUGCAAGCGUUGUUCGGAUUUAUUGGGCGUAAAGCGAGUGUAGGCGGUUCGACAAGUCGGAUGUGAAAUCCCAGGGCCCAACCCUGGAACUGCAUCCGAUACUGUCAGGCUAGAGUCCCGGAGAGGGUGGCGGAAUUCCCGGUGUAGGGGUGAAAUCCGUAGAUAUCGGGAGGAACACCAGUGGCGAAGGCGGCCACCUGGACGGUGACUGACGCUGAGACUCGAAAGCGUGGGUAGCAAACAGGAUUAGAUACCCCCGUAGUCC
RNAcentral lists this ribosomal RNA (450 nucleotides) under uncultured prokaryote. RNAcentral describes it as "bacterial SSU rRNA". It matches the Rfam family "Bacterial small subunit ribosomal RNA", at positions 355 to 796 of the family's 1533-position model. The record is from RNAcentral.